GCGGGGUGGAGCAGCUUGGUAGCUCGUCGGGCUCAUAACCCGAAGGUCGUCGGUUCAAAUCCGGCCCCCGCAACCA
Molecule: transfer RNA, 76 nt
Filed under: Vibrio alginolyticus
Lineage: Bacteria; Pseudomonadati; Pseudomonadota; Gammaproteobacteria; Vibrionales; Vibrionaceae
Also listed under: 4 other names
Description: tRNA-Met
Rfam family: tRNA
About the family: Transfer RNA (tRNA) molecules are approximately 80 nucleotides in length. Their secondary structure includes four short double-helical elements and three loops (D, anti-codon, and T loops).
Source: RNAcentral